UACGUAGGGUGCGAGCGUUAAUCGGAAUUACUGGGCGUAAAGUGUGCGCAGGCGGCCGAGCAAGUCGAGUGUGAAAGCCCCGAGCUUAACUUGGGAACUGCGCUCGAAACUACUUGGCUAGAGUGUGGCAGAGGGAGGUGUAAUUCCACGUGUAGCGGUGAAAUGCGUAGAGAUGUGGAGGAACACCGAUGGCGAAGGCAGCCUCCUGGGCCAACACUGACGCUCAUGCACGAAAGCGUGGGGAGCAAACAGG
This 253-nucleotide ribosomal RNA is filed under the name uncultured bacterium. Its description in RNAcentral is "partial 16S ribosomal RNA". It matches the Rfam family "Bacterial small subunit ribosomal RNA", at positions 524 to 776 of the family's 1533-position model. The record is from RNAcentral.